This 253-nucleotide ribosomal RNA is filed under the name uncultured bacterium. RNAcentral's name for it is "partial 16S ribosomal RNA". It matches the Rfam family "Bacterial small subunit ribosomal RNA", at positions 524 to 776 of the family's 1533-position model. The record is from RNAcentral.
UACAGGAGGCCCGAGCGUUAAUCGGAAUCACUGGGCUUAAAGGGUGCGUAGGCGGGUCCGUAAGAGCGUCGUGAAAUCCCCCGGCUCAACCGGGGAACUGCGGCGCAGACUGCGGAUCUUGAGGAAGCUAGGGGUUGCUGGAACGCUCGGUGGAGCGGUGAAAUGCGUUGAGAUCGAGCGGAACGCCGAAGGUGAAGACAGGCAACUGGGGCUUUCCUGACGCUGAGGCACGAAAGCGUGGGGAUCAAACAGG